This 81-nucleotide transfer RNA is filed under the name Streptococcus uberis. RNAcentral's name for it is "tRNA-Tyr". It matches the Rfam family "tRNA". From Rfam's summary of the family: Transfer RNA (tRNA) molecules are approximately 80 nucleotides in length. Their secondary structure includes four short double-helical elements and three loops (D, anti-codon, and T loops). The record is from RNAcentral. Lineage: Bacteria; Bacillati; Bacillota; Bacilli; Lactobacillales; Streptococcaceae.
GGAAAGAAAAAGAAAAGGCCAAACUCCGCGGACUGUAAAUCCGCUCCUUCGGGUUCGGGGGUUCGAAUCCCUCUCUUUCCA